GUUUGCUUUACUGCAUAAUACCCACCACCACCACCACUACGAAAUACCCUAUACAGUCAUUCAGCUUUACUGAAAGACCUGUGUUUAUGCAAACCCAUUAACAGAAACAAAUCCCUGAUCAUUCCUGACAUUUUGAAAGGACAAAAUUCUUGGGUAAGAAGUCCACAACAUACUGCUGACAUGAAGAAACGGCUGCAAACUCAGAAUUUGCAAGAUGAGUGUACAUGGAUACUGUACGAAUACGAGUUAUGAUGUGUUUGAAAUGCUUUGGACUGCUUUAAAACAAAGGCACUAUGGAGAUUAAGAGCUAUUCUUAAUAAAAAAUUAUUUUCUCCACUUGUAUGGAGCUGAAGCAGAGAGGGGGAAUUACAAGAGCCAGUAAGUCACAACCUUGGAAUGGCAGCUCCUUCCAGCUACGCCUUUCUCACCGUUCAAUGUGGACGCCCCCGUUUUUAUGUCUGGGACUAGGUGGAGCCCAGGGAGCAAAUGAGAAACCUAUGUGAGAAUACAGGGCCUUCACUCUAUAAAGAGCAAGGCUAAACACUCACAGGGAUACAGUUUUCCAGAAAGGAUCCUAUCUGUAAUGAAGUUAUACUACUGUGCAUUUUGAAGGAUUUGAGGAGCCAUGUUUGAUUUCCCUAUGAAAUAGCAAAUAUCCCCUAGAUUCUCAUGUUAUGAAAACAAACAUCAACUGUAAUAAAGGCUGAGCAUUGGAAACGAACACCUGGUGCGUACCUGAAUGAUCUGGGCGGCAAGCUCUGGGGUCCCAUGCUUCAGGUCAUGCCCAUUGAUGGCAAGUACUCGGUCAUUGCUGCUGAGCCUUCCAUCCUGUGCAGCCAGUCCGCCUUCCAAUAAGUCAAGAAUAAAAACACCUGGCUCAUCGGUCCUUCGUACAAGUUUAAUGCCGAGCUGUUCACCAGAGUCCCGCUUGUGAAGGACCACGUGGAAGAUGUCUUCCCGUGGAGAGCUACUGUCAGAGUGGCUGUUUGUCCGGUUCCCAAAGCGCCUCUCUCGCAGCACAGUGAGGUGCAGUGUGCUGCAGGGCUGGGAGAGAACGGCUCUGGCAUAGUUGUGGGAUACAUUGCUGAUGUUACAGUUGUUGA
Canis lupus familiaris (dog) is the source of this 1103-nucleotide long non-coding RNA. RefSeq lists it as uncharacterized. The transcript has 3 exons. Lineage: Eukaryota; Metazoa; Chordata; Mammalia; Carnivora; Canidae. The record is from RefSeq and is a predicted model, not a curated record.